Molecule: long non-coding RNA, 566 nt
Filed under: Musa acuminata (dwarf banana)
Lineage: Eukaryota; Viridiplantae; Streptophyta; Magnoliopsida; Zingiberales; Musaceae
Description: long non-coding RNA (MACU_LNC004032)
Source: RNAcentral
CGUCAUCUUCGACACCGGGAGCGACGUCACGUGGAUCCAGUGCCAGCCCUGCGUCGUCACCUGCUACCAGCAACAAGACCCAAUCUUCGACCCAUCCCACUCCUCCACGUACCUCAACAUCUCCUGCAGCUCCGCCUACUGCACCGACCUCGGCGCCUCCGGUUGCAGCUCGUCCACUUGCGUUUACGGGGUCCAGUACGGGGAUAACUCCUACACGGUGGGGUUCUACGCGGAAGACACGCUCUGGCUGACGCCCUACGACGUCAUCCCCAACUUCCGAUUUGGGUGCGGCGAGCGGAACGACGGCCUCUUCGGCAAGGCCGCCGGCCUGAUCGGUCUCGGCCGCGACAAGCCGUCCUUUGUCUCUCAGACGUAUCAAAGGUACGGUGGAGUCUUUACCUACUGCUUGCCACCGACCUCGAGCUCGACAGGCUACUUGAGAUUCGGUGGUGGUUACCCCUCCUCCGAUCUCCGGUUCACCCCGAUGCUGUCGGGCGCAAGCUCGCCGACGUUCUACUACCUUACUCUAACGGCUAUAAGCGUUGGCGGUCAGCAACUGUUGGUAC